GAUGAACGCUGGCGGCGUGCCUAACACAUGCAAGUCGAACGGAGUUACGAGAGCUUGCUUUUGUAACUUAGUGGCGAACGGGUGAGUAAUGCGUGAGCAACCUGCCCUUCAGAGGGGAACAACAGUUGGAAACGACUGCUAAUACCGCAUAAUGUAUUUAGGAGGCGUCUCCUGGAUACCAAAGGAGAAAUCCGCUGAAGGAUGGGCUCACGUCUGAUUAGCUAGUUGGUGAGGUAAACGGCCCACCAAGGCGACGAUCAGUAGCCGGACUGAGAGGUUGAACGGCCACAUUGGGACUGAGAUACGGCCCAGACUCCUACGGGAGGCAGCAGUGGGGAAUAUUGCACAAUGGGGGAAACCCUGAUGCAGCGACGCCGCGUGAGUGAAGAAGUAUUUCGGUAUGUAAAGCUCUAUCAGCAGGGAAGAAAAUGACGGUACCUGACUAAGAAGCCCCGGCUAACUACGUG
Molecule: ribosomal RNA, 467 nt
Filed under: uncultured bacterium
Lineage: Bacteria
Description: bacterial SSU rRNA
Rfam family: Bacterial small subunit ribosomal RNA
Source: RNAcentral